Molecule: long non-coding RNA, 244 nt
Organism: Daphnia pulex (common water flea)
Lineage: Eukaryota; Metazoa; Arthropoda; Branchiopoda; Diplostraca; Daphniidae
Exons: 3
Source: RefSeq, a predicted model, not a curated record
AACAAGUUGACUUAGCGCUCAGUCAUGCUGUCUAAAAAUCAUGUUUUAAGCACACAUAUAGUGGAAUACAAAUCUGCCGAGUUAAGGAUCUAUUCUGAAUCUCACAAUUUUGGUGGCGUACCCUGCAACAGCAUGUUUGUUGUUAUGGCUGUUUUUAGUUUUGUUUAGAAGGCAACCCAGCUAAGAGAUAGAGUUUCAGUGACAUGAAGACUGUGAAGUGAACCACCUAUCACCAUGCUACUGC